GCCCAGGCAGAGACCGAGGGCUGUGAGGACUGCCAGCAUGCUGUCACCUCUCACUCUCUCUCAGUGCUGUGAGAGUAUGGGCUCCUCUCCCACUUGAGUGCUGGCUGCAGAACUUGGCUUGGCACCGCUGGGCUGUGCACCACAGCCCUAAGCUGGAGGACAGUACUACUGCAGCUGCAGUGAGAGAGGGGCUGUGCGUUGUCUACAGAAUUUCCUCCCCAGAGAAACUCAGAGCUGCCACCUACUGAAAUGUUCAGCUGGAAAAAAUGAGUCUGGGAAAGAAGAUGAGCACAAGAUUUCAGAAAGCUGUGAGAAAAUAACCAUGAUAUCAUCAUGCCUUUUCUGGAUUAAGG
Symphalangus syndactylus (siamang) is the source of this 353-nucleotide long non-coding RNA. RefSeq lists it as uncharacterized. Lineage: Eukaryota; Metazoa; Chordata; Mammalia; Primates; Hylobatidae. The record is from RefSeq and is a predicted model, not a curated record.